RNAcentral lists this ribosomal RNA (305 nucleotides) under uncultured bacterium. RNAcentral describes it as "bacterial SSU rRNA". It matches the Rfam family "Bacterial small subunit ribosomal RNA", at positions 338 to 660 of the family's 1533-position model. The record is from RNAcentral.
CCUACGGGGGGCAGCAGUGGGGAAUAUUGCACAAUGGGGGAAACCCUGAUGCAGCGACGCCGCGUGAGUGAAGAAGUAUUUCGGUAUGUAAAGCUCUAUCAGCAGGGAAGAUAAUGACGGUACCUGAGUAAGAAGCCCCGGCUAACUACGUGCCAGCAGCCGCGGUAAUACGUAGGGGGCAAGCGUUAUCCGGAUUUACUGGGUGUAAAGGGAGCGUAGACGGCAUGGCAAGUCUGAAGUGAAAGCCCGGGGCUCAACCGCGGGACUGCUUUGGAAACUGUUAAGCUGGAGUGCAGGAGAGGUAA